This 446-nucleotide ribosomal RNA is filed under the name uncultured bacterium. RNAcentral describes it as "partial 16S ribosomal RNA". It matches the Rfam family "Bacterial small subunit ribosomal RNA", at positions 29 to 507 of the family's 1533-position model. The record is from RNAcentral.
ACGAACGCUAUCGGUAUGCUUAACACCUGCAAGUCGGACGGACUAAUUAGGGCUUGCUCCAAUUAGUUAGUGGCAGACGGGUGAGUAACACGUGGGAAUCUGCCCAUCAGUACGGAAUAACUUUUAGAAAUAAAAGCUAAUACCGUAUAUUCUCUACAGAGGAAAGAUUUAUCGCUGAUGGAUGAGCCCGCGUCAGAUUAGGUAGUUGGUGAGGUAACGGCUCACCAAGCCGACGAUCUGUAGCUGGUCUGAGAGGAUGAUCAGCCACACUGGGACUGAGACACGGCCCAGACUCCUACGGGAGGCAGCAGUGGGGAAUAUUGGACAAUGGGCGAAAGCCUGAUCCAGCAAUACCGAGUGAGUGAUAAAGGCCCUAGGGUUGUAAAGCUCUUUUAGCAAGGAAGAUAAUGACGGUACUUGCAGAAAAAGCCCCGGCUAACUCCGUG